This 101-nucleotide non-coding RNA is filed under the name Carlito syrichta (Philippine tarsier). The record is from RNAcentral. Lineage: Eukaryota; Metazoa; Chordata; Mammalia; Primates; Tarsiidae.
GGCUGGUCCGGAUGCGGUGAUAAUUACCAUCAAUUGAUCACAACCAGUUACAGAUUGUCUUGUUCCUUUGCCAUCUCAUUGCUUCACUUAAGUGGCCUAAU